GACGGAGGAGGCAAGCGUUAUCCGGAAUUAUUGGGCGUAAAGCGUCCGCAGGUGGCCCUUCAAGUCUGCUGUUAAAGCCCAGGGCUCAACCCUGGAGAAGCAGUGGAAACUGGCGGGCUAGAGUGCGGUAGGGGCAGAGGGAAUUCCCGGUGUAGCGGUGAAAUGCGUAGAGAUCGGGAAGAACACCAGUGGCGAAAGCGCUCUGCUGGACCGCAACUGACACUCAUGGACGAAAGCUAGGGGAGCGAAUGGGAUUAGAUACCCCAGUAGUCCUAGCCGUAAACGAUGGACACUAGGUGUUGCGCGUAUCGACCCGUGCAGUGCCGUAGCCAACGCGUUAAGUGUCCCGCCUGGGGAGU
This 359-nucleotide ribosomal RNA is filed under the name uncultured Thermosynechococcaceae cyanobacterium. RNAcentral describes it as "bacterial SSU rRNA". It matches the Rfam family "Bacterial small subunit ribosomal RNA", at positions 524 to 881 of the family's 1533-position model. The record is from RNAcentral. Lineage: Bacteria; Bacillati; Cyanobacteriota; Cyanophyceae; Acaryochloridales; Thermosynechococcaceae.